CAGAUACCGCCCUAGUUCUGACCGUAAACGAUGCCAACUAGCGAUCCGCCAGUCGACUCAUCGCUCUGGUGGGGAGCUUCCCGGAAACGAAAGUCUUCCGGUUCCGGGGGAAGUAUGGUUGCAAAGCUGAAACUUAAAGGAAUUGACGGAAGGGCACCACCAGGAGUGGAGCCUGCGGCUUAAUUUGACUCAACACGGGGAAACUCACCCGGCCCGGACACCGUAAGGAUUGACAGAUUGAUAGCUUUUUCAUGAUUCGGUGGAUGGUGGUGCAUGGCCGUUCUUAGUUCGUGGAGCGAUUUGUCUGGUUUAUUCCGAUAACGAGCGAGACUCUGGCCUACUAAAUAGUUGACGCAUUGCCACUGUGCGCACAACUUCUUAGAGGGAUUUUCGGUGUUUUCAACCGCACGAAAUUGAGCAAUAACAGGUCUGUGAUGCCCUUAGAUGUCCGGGGCUGCACGCGCGCUACACUGGCAAACGCAACGUGCCUGUCCUGCCCCGAAAGGAGCGGGUAAACCCCUGAAAUUUUGCCGUGAUUGGGAUCGGACAUUGCAACUAUUGUCCGUGAACGAGGAAUUCCUUGUAGGGGCGAGUCAUCAACUCGUCCCGAAUACGUCCCUGCCCUUG
RNAcentral lists this ribosomal RNA (627 nucleotides) under Rotylenchulus reniformis. RNAcentral describes it as "SSU rRNA". It matches the Rfam family "Eukaryotic small subunit ribosomal RNA", at positions 1009 to 1662 of the family's 1831-position model. The record is from RNAcentral. Lineage: Eukaryota; Metazoa; Nematoda; Chromadorea; Rhabditida; Hoplolaimidae.